Molecule: transfer RNA, 74 nt
Filed under: Thermomonospora curvata
Lineage: Bacteria; Bacillati; Actinomycetota; Actinomycetes; Streptosporangiales; Thermomonosporaceae
Also listed under: 2 other names
Description: tRNA-Leu
Rfam family: tRNA
About the family: Transfer RNA (tRNA) molecules are approximately 80 nucleotides in length. Their secondary structure includes four short double-helical elements and three loops (D, anti-codon, and T loops).
Source: RNAcentral
GCCCCGAUAGGCCAAUCGGUAGAGCCGGCGGCCUCAAAAGCCGUUCAGUGUGGGUUCGAAUCCCACUCGGGGCA